GCUUACGGCCAUACCAACCUGGCUAUGCCCGAUCUCGUCUGAUCUCGGAAGCUAAGCAGGUUUGGCCCUGGUUAGUACUUGGAUGGGAGACCGCCUGGGAAUACCAGGUGCUGUAAGCU
Molecule: ribosomal RNA, 119 nt
Organism: Carassius auratus (goldfish)
Lineage: Eukaryota; Metazoa; Chordata; Actinopteri; Cypriniformes; Cyprinidae
Source: Ensembl